GAUGAAGAACGUAGCGAAAUGCGAUAAGUAAUGUGAAUUGCAGAAUUCAGUGAAUCAUCGAAUCUUUGAACGCACAUUGCGCCCCUUGGUAUUCCGAGGGGCAUGCCUGUUCGAGCGUCAUUAUAACCCCUCAAGCUCAGCUUGGUGUUGGGGCCUGCUGCACUGGCAGCCCUUAAAAUCAGUGGCGGCGCCAUCUGGCUCUAAGCGUAGUAAUUCUUAUCGCUAUGGAGUCCUGGUGGAUGCUUGCCAUCAACCCCCAAUUUUUCUAUGGUUGACCUCGGAUCAGGUAGGGAUACCCGCUGAACUUAAGCAUAUCAAUAAGCGGAGGA
This 329-nucleotide unclassified non-coding RNA is filed under the name soil metagenome. Its description in RNAcentral is "partial contains 5.8S ribosomal RNA, internal transcribed spacer 2, and large subunit ribosomal RNA". The stretch from base 1 to 120 matches the Rfam family "5.8S ribosomal RNA", at positions 35 to 154 of the family's 154-position model. The record is from RNAcentral.